UGCCAGUGAUAAACUGGAGGAAGGUGGGGAUGACGUCAAGUCAUCAUGGCCCUUACGACCAGGGCUACACACGUGCUACAAUGGCAUAUACAAAGAGAAGCGACCUCGCGAGAGCAAGCGGACCUCAUAAAGUAUGUCGUAGUCCGGAUUGGAGUCUGCAACUCGACUCCAUGAAGUCGGAAUCGCUAGUAAUCGUGGAUCAGAAUGCCACGGUGAAUACGUUCCCGGGCCUUGUACACACCGCCCGUCACACCAUGGGAGUGGGUUGCAAAAGAAGUAGGUAGCUUAACCUUCGGGAGGGCGCUUACCACUUUGUGAUUCAUGACUGGGGUGAAGUCGUAACAAGGUAACCGUAGGGGAACCUGCGGUUGGAUCACCUCCUUACCUU
This 388-nucleotide ribosomal RNA is filed under the name Citrobacter koseri. Its description in RNAcentral is "bacterial SSU rRNA". It matches the Rfam family "Bacterial small subunit ribosomal RNA", at positions 1150 to 1533 of the family's 1533-position model. The record is from RNAcentral. Lineage: Bacteria; Pseudomonadati; Pseudomonadota; Gammaproteobacteria; Enterobacterales; Enterobacteriaceae. RNAcentral also lists the same sequence under 1 other name.